Molecule: long non-coding RNA, 559 nt
Filed under: Phoenix dactylifera (date palm)
Lineage: Eukaryota; Viridiplantae; Streptophyta; Magnoliopsida; Arecales; Arecaceae
Description: long non-coding RNA (PDAC_LNC006289)
Source: RNAcentral
UUUGAAAUUCAAACAAACCUGCAAAAGUGUGUCAGUCGCGUCCCAGGCGCUCCGGAGACAUCUCCGCUUGAACGCGAGACGUCUCGGCUGUAUAAAAUUUUUUUUGACGUUGUUUGGAGUCGACUCAGCGCUUUACGGGGACGUCUCUGAAGAAGAGCAGCUUGAAUGCUUGUUUUUCUGUUUUUCUGAGAGAGUCGGCUCGGUACUUUACGGGGACGUCUCGGGAUGUUUGCGCUUUUUGCAUGGGGACGACUCCGCGACGUCGGGGACGACUCUGUAGUUUUAUCACCGAAAAACAAGUCCUCUGGAAUCCCCUGAGAGAGUCGACUCCGCGCUUUCUGGGGACGUCUCGGAAAGUUUGCUUUUUAUGCGUGGGGACGACUCCGCGUCCUUCGGAGACGACUCGCGCGCAUCCCUUGAGAUUGGUCUUUCUGCCGCCUCUGAGAGAGUCGACUCUGCAAAGUCNNNNNNNNNNNNNNNNNNNNNAGGGACGUCUCGGAAAGUUUGCUUUUUAUGCGUGGGGACGACUCUGCGUCCUUCGGAGACGACUCGCGCGCAU